Molecule: RNA transcript, 2686 nt
Organism: Arachis ipaensis
Lineage: Eukaryota; Viridiplantae; Streptophyta; Magnoliopsida; Fabales; Fabaceae
Gene name: Pentatricopeptide repeat (PPR) superfamily protein
Source: RefSeq, a predicted model, not a curated record
AUCUUUUACCCUCAAAACCUCUGUCGCUGUUCUGAUAUUAGAUGAUUGAGUUUUGCGCGACGAUUUUAUGUCUGGGUUGAGUUACUGUUGUUAGCCGGUGUCCUUAUGGCUGUUACCGCUGUGGAACAUAGUCGAAGUUGGCGCCGUUGUUUUCGGUUCUUUAACGCGUUAGUUCGACUUUCCGAGAUGCUUCUCCGACGAACUACCACCCUCAUCAACAACCACCGCCUCCUUACAACAAUCGCCACAACAGGCAACAACCCCAUUACUCCGGUGAACCAGGACCAGCUCCGCCGAGUCUGCACUAUCUUGUAUCAGCAACAAAACAUGCCCGAGUCACGCCUCAACUCGAAACUCGCCUCCACUGAGUUCCAACUCACCCACGAGUUCUUCCUUCAAGUUUGCAACACCUUCCCCUAUUCAUGGAGACCUGUUUACCGCUUCUUCCAAUACACACAGCAACAAAACCCCACUUUCCCUCACACCAUUGUGUCCUUCAACAAGAUGCUUGAUGUAAUUGGAAAGUCUCGUAACAUUGACCUCUUUUGGAGCCUUCUUUCUGAUAUGGCACGACGUUGUUUUGUUAACGAUAAGACCUUCAUUAUAGCCCUCAAGACUUUGGGUGGUGCUAGGGAAUUGAAGAAAUGUGUUGAGGUAUUCCACUUGAUGAAUGAAAAUGGGUGUGGCUACAAUCUGGAGACACUAAACAAGGUUGUUGGAGCAAUGUGUGGUUGCAAGCUUGUUGAUGAGGCUAAGCAUGUUGUCUUGAAGUUGAGGGAUUUGGUUAACCCUGAUGCAGUUACUUAUAGGAUCUUGAUUGAGGGUUAUUGUGAUAAGGGUGAAUUGAUUGAGGCUUCAAAGGUUUGGAAUUUGAUGAUGGAUGAUGGGGUUAGGCCCGAGUUGGAAGCUUUUGAGAAAAUGAUGGAUAUUUUUUUCAAGAAGGAUAUGUGUGGCGAGGCGUUGAAGCUCUUCCGGACAAUAAGGUUUAAGAGGAUGGAUGAGCUCCGGGAUUCGAGUUAUAAGUUGGUGAUCAAAUGGUUGUGUAGGAAAGGGAUGAUGUGUGAUGCACAAGAGGUGUUCGAUGAAAUGCGUAGUCGAGGGAUUCAAGUUGAUAACUUGACUCUGGGAUCCGUGGUUUACGGACUUGUCUCAAGACAUAGGGUUAGGGAGGCUUAUCAGGUUGUGAAGGAGAUUGAUUCACCGGAUAUAAGUGUAUAUCAUGGAUUGAUCAAAGGGCUUGUGAGGUUGAGGCGGGCCAGUGAGGCGACUGAAGUGUUUAGGGAAAUGAUUAGGAGAGGUUGUGAACCAACAAUGCAUACCUAUAUAAUGUUGUUACAAGGGCAUUUGGGGAGGAGAGGUAGGAAGGGGUCUGAUCCACUUAUCAAUUUUGACACUAUCUUUGUUGGUGGUUUGGUGAAGGUGGGAAAAUCGAAAGAAGCUGGAAAGUAUGUGGAGAGGGUGAUGAACAGAGGGCUUGAGGUGCCAAGGUUUGAUUACAAUAAAUUCUUGCACCACUUUUCAAAUGAGGAAGGUGUGGUUAUGUUUGAGGAGAUGGGAAAGAAGUUGAGAGAGGUCGGUUUGGUUGACUUGGCAGACAUAUUUGAGAGAUAUGGACAAAAGAUGGCUACUAGGGAUAGGAGAAGGAACAGAUUUCCAAUAUCAGAAGACACUAAGGAUGUGUAAAUCUAAUUGUUAAACAAAUUGGCAAAUGAAUGAAAACUGGAAAAUAUUGUGUGUACAUCCAGCAUUGUGAUACAGUGCCAUCUCCAUCCAGCAUUGGUAAUUGGUAUAUAACAUAUCCCUUUAAAAUUAUAUAUCUGUAUUAUAAUUGUUUUUCAGAGUUAUUGACAAACUACUACUUUCUUUUUCUCUUAAAUUAUCUGCACCUCUCUAUGAACCCAUAAUUUAGAAGUAAUCAUUCAAGGAAAAGUUUGUGCAAUUACCGCUUCUAAGAAAAUAAAAAGACGAUUAUUGGCAUCUUACGUUGGUUUUGUGAACUGAAAAAGUGUGCUGUCUGGAGCAUUUUGCAAGCUUUCUAUUUUAAAAUGUGCUGUGGUAUAGACAUCUUGGAUCUCAUAUGGGCUUGUCUGAAGAUACAGAAUUUGGUUUUCUUUGUACCAUUGAUUUGCUGCAUACUUGCAUGAAGACUCAACUAAGUUGCUUGGAAUGAGUGGCUUAUCUAUGAUUCCUUUGAAACUGUCAUCAAACAAAGAAUGUUACGAGGCAAAAGUCGGUUCAACUCCUUGUCAUGUAUAAUUUGCUGUGUAAUUCAAGCUUAUAGAUGGCUGAGAUCAAACCUUAGAUUGUUAUUGGUUUUGUCAUCAAGAAUGUGUGAAAUUGUGAUUCACACAUUCUUGUACAAAUGAUUGAAAUGACAAAAGGACAACCAUGCAACACAUUUGGCAAAAUCAGAGUGGAGCAAGGAUAAUUCAUCAACGGUCAUGAGAGAAGAUUCUCCUGCGUCGUCUCAAUUUUGGAAAAUUGGCAUUCACCAUGAUCUUGAAGCUUUAAGGAUUUGGUUGGUGAUUUUGGACUCCUAGAAGUGCAAUCAAAGUUCGGAAGUGAGGUAGGGAUUUAAAUUAAAAAUUGUUUAGUUUGUUUGCCAAAAAAUCGUAGGACCUCAACUUGCCAAAAUUGAAUGAGUUAUGUUGUUGGUAAUGACCUGAUGGAAUAUGAGUUGUUUGAA